Molecule: ribosomal RNA, 253 nt
Filed under: uncultured bacterium
Lineage: Bacteria
Description: partial 16S ribosomal RNA
Rfam family: Bacterial small subunit ribosomal RNA
Source: RNAcentral
UACGGAGGGUGCAAGCGUUAUCCGGAUUCACUGGGUUUAAAGGGUGCGUAGGUGGGCAGGUAAGUCAGUGGUGAAAUCUCCGGGCUUAACUCGGAAACUGCCAUUGAUACUAUCUGUCUUGAAUACCGUGGAGGUUAGCGGAAUAUGUCAUGUAGCGGUGAAAUGCUUAGAUAUGACAUAGAACACCAAUUGCGAAGGCAGCUGGCUACACGAAUAUUGUCACUGAUGCACGAAAGCGUGGGGGUCAAACAGG